Bombus pyrosoma is the source of this 597-nucleotide long non-coding RNA. RefSeq lists it as uncharacterized. The record is from RefSeq and is a predicted model, not a curated record. Lineage: Eukaryota; Metazoa; Arthropoda; Insecta; Hymenoptera; Apidae. The transcript has 3 exons.
AACAUUGCGACGCAGCGAACAAGCGUUCAUUCGCAUUUGCAAACGAUAUCUCCUCGAAGUGAUCGAUUCGGUGAUUCGAUCACCGUGUUUAAACGCGAUUCAACGACGUGUCGUCGUUGCACCUGCUACAGCUGCAUCGUGAACGAGACGAGACGAUUAACCAGGCGUGCACGCGUUUAUCGCGUGACGGUUACGCAGAUGCGCGCGCACGCCCGCAUUUGUUUUGCUCGACUCGCACUACAUUUUACCAGAAUUCGCAAUUCGAUAUUUUCUAAAUCGCAUACGUAUGGAUUGCAUGGAAUAGGAAGACGUAACGAACGAGAUGGUCCUUUCUCCAAUUCGUACUGGAUGGUUUUCAAGUAUCGAUUGUGUUAGCAUAUAGACAUCGAGACGCUUUUUUAUUUUGAUGGAAUGCAAGUAAGGAAAAAGUUCAAUCAAACACAGGUAACAAAACGUCGUCAAUCUCAAUUACAACGACGAAAUAAUAAUAGAACAGACACCCAAGGAAAACAAAGUAAAAAGGUUCGGGAUGAAUAAAAGUGCGUUCAGGAGAAGGGUAAUUCGAAUGGUAAAAGUGAUUACCGCUGGCAGGAUUCC